ACAUUAAUUUCCCCGAAUUGAAAGCGCCAGGCGCGCUCUGAGAACUUUGGAGAAGUUGUGUCUUUUUUUUUCCCCCUCUUCCCUGUGACGCGGUGGUGAAUCGUCUUAGCUGAUAGUAUCUGGGCUGUUUAAAGGUUCCCUUGUUGAAUAGGAGACACAAAGAAGAUGAAAUCCCUUUUGGUCACUGCUAUCAUUACUGCCUUUGUUCUGGCUUUGUUCCUCCAUUCAGGAAGUGCUUUAGUGUGCUACAAUUGUGAAUCUGCUAUGUGUAACAAAACUAUGACCUGCACAGUCGACCAAAAUACUUGCAUAACAGUACAUUAUGGUG
This is a long non-coding RNA of Protobothrops mucrosquamatus (brown spotted pit viper), 328 nucleotides long. RefSeq lists it as uncharacterized. NCBI's taxonomy places the organism in Eukaryota, Metazoa, Chordata, Lepidosauria, Squamata, Viperidae. The transcript has 3 exons. The record is from RefSeq and is a predicted model, not a curated record.